CAGGCCUAACACAUGCAAGUCGAACGAGUGCCUUCGGGUGCUAGUGGCGCACGGGUGCGUAACGCGUGGGAAUCUGCCCCUUGGUUCGGAAUAACAGUUGGAAACGACUGCUAAUACCGGAUGACGACGUAAGUCCAAAGAUUUAUCGCCGAGGGAUGAGCCCGCGUAGGAUUAGCUAGUUGGUGUGGUAAAGGCGCACCAAGGCGACGAUCCUUAGCUGGUCUGAGAGGAUGAUCAGCCACACUGGGACUGAGACACGGCCCAGACUCCUACGGGAGGCAGCAGUGGGGAAUAUUGGACAAUGGGCGAAAGCCUGAUCCAGCAAUGCCGCGUGAGUGAUGAAGGCCUUAGGGUUGUAAAGCUCUUUUACCCGGGAUGAUAAUGACAGUACCGGGAGAAUAAGCUCCGGCUAACUCCGUGCCAGCAGCCGCGGUAAU
Molecule: ribosomal RNA, 437 nt
Filed under: uncultured bacterium
Lineage: Bacteria
Description: bacterial SSU rRNA
Rfam family: Bacterial small subunit ribosomal RNA
Source: RNAcentral